UCAUCGUCUCAUAUUGAUGGAUAAUAUCUUUUCUAAGUAUUUGCCAUUAAUAGCCACUUUCAACUCGUCACCUUCAGGGUACAUUAGCCUAUAUGCUCCUCGAGAUGCUUUGGCUGUGACAAUAAAGGGACCUUCCUAAUUAGCCGACCAUAUUCCCCAAUCUCGAUCCUUCGGUGCUUCGGGCAAAAUUGCUUUCCAAACAAGGUCGCCUUCUUGAUAAGUAAUUGGUCGAGCCGAUUUAUUGGAGCUCAGCUUGCUGCACGGUUCGUAAUGAUGGAACUGUAAUUUAUAAAGGUAGCACCACGUCAUGCCCAUAAGUCAAACGAAAUGGUGUGCUUCCCGUGACCGAUGAUUUUGCAUUCCGAUACGUUCAUAAUAACUCUUCAAGUGUAUCAUGCCAUCCCCUCGGAUUUUCCUCUAACGAUUUUUUAAUCAUCGAAAUCAACGUUUUAUUACUCGCCUUAGCCUGUCCAUUAAUUGGGGAUAGUACAACGAGGAAUGGAUUAAUCGUAUGUCAUAUUGAGCUACGAAGGAUUGCACAUUGGCGCAUAAAUACAGUCCCUUGAUCAGUCGUGAUGGACUAAGGGAUGCCAAAACGAUGAAUAAGUUUGUGUUUAAUAAAUCGAAUCACCUGCGCUUGCUUAACUUGCGCCAAAGGGACUACUUCGACCCAUUUAGUAAAAUAGUCGAUCGCCACCAAAAUAAAAAAAUGUCCUUUGGAAGAAGGAUAUAUUUUACCAAUAAUGUCUAUUGCCCAUCAUCGGAAUGGCCAUGGUUUAAUAAUUGAAUGCAACUCUUCAGCGGGUACUCUUUUCAUGGGACCAUGUCGUUGGCAUGCUUCGCAUCCCCUAGAUAGAUAACACAAUCGCGUGAUAUAGUAGGCCAAAAAUAUCCAUACUUGAAAAUAGUCAAAUGCAUAGCAGCACCGGACCGAUGUGCGCCUGCAAUGCAUUUGUGAAUCUCGGCCAUAACCUUUUUUGCUUCAUCACGGCCCAAACAACGAGCCAAUGUUCCGUCGGGGCGUCGACGAUAUAGAUCUUGAUCGACCAAGUUAAUACGAACAACCCCUUUUUUCGUUUAAAUCCUGACGCUUGAUGUGCAAGAUCGUUCGCCUCGCUGUUCUCCUCACGAGGGAUCUCUUCUAAUAUUUGGAACUGUUGUAGGAGUGCUCGUACCUCACGCAAGAGACCGAUAAGAUGUGAUUCUCGGCAUUUAAAUUUGCCCAAGGCUUGUCGAAUAAUAAGCUGCGAAUCGCCUUGAAUAUAUAUAGCUGUGGCAUUCUUUGAUUCCAAAAAAUGCAAGGCGAGCAGUAAUGCUUCAUAUUCAGCUUCAUUGUUAGUGCAUACUUUAGGAAGUUGAUUUGUGAAACACCAAACUCCGCCGUCGGGGCUUGUAACAACAACCCCUGCACUGGCUGCAUCGGACGUACUUGAACUGUCAAAAGUGACUCGCCAUGAUUCCAAUCCAGCAUAUUCAGCUGAAAUAUCUGAUGUUUGGAUCAUUUAUGGAUGUUCGGCUAAAAAGUCAGCAAUAGCUUGCCCUUUUACAAUGUUCAAUGGUUCAUAGGUGAGUGCCAAGGAUGAAAGUUUCACAGCCCAUUUGACUAAUCGGCUACGCAAAACAGGGCGACUUAAAAGGUAGCAAAGAAGAUCGAAUUUGUACAAAAAUUUUGUCUCAAAUGGUACAAUAUAAUACUCUAGCU
This is a long non-coding RNA of Andrographis paniculata, 1702 nucleotides long. RefSeq lists it as uncharacterized. Lineage: Eukaryota; Viridiplantae; Streptophyta; Magnoliopsida; Lamiales; Acanthaceae. The transcript has 3 exons. The record is from RefSeq and is a predicted model, not a curated record.